GACGAACGCUGGCGGCGUGCCUAAUACAUGCAAGUAGAACGCUGAAGGAGGAGCUUGCUUCUCUGGAUGAGUUGCGAACGGGUGAGUAACGCGUAGGUAACCUGCCUGGUAGCGGGGGAUAACUAUUGGAAACGAUAGCUAAUACCGCAUAAGAGUAGAUGUCGCAUGACAUUUGCUUAAAAGGUGCAAUUGCAUCACUACCAGAUGGACCUGCGUUGUAUUAGCUAGUUGGUGAGGUAACGGCUCACCAAGGCAACGAUACAUAGCCGACCUGAGAGGGUGCUCGGCCACACUGGGACUGAGACACGGCCCAGACUCCUACGGGAGGCAGCAGUAGGGAAUCUUCGGCAAUGGACGGAAGUCUGACCGAGCAACGCCGCGUGAGUGAAGAAGGUUUUCGGAUCGUAAAGCUCUGUUGUAAGUGAAGAACGAGUGUGAGAGUGGAAAGUUCACACUGUGACGGUAUCUUACCAGAAAGGGACGGCUAACUACGUG
Molecule: ribosomal RNA, 495 nt
Filed under: uncultured bacterium
Lineage: Bacteria
Description: partial 16S ribosomal RNA
Rfam family: Bacterial small subunit ribosomal RNA
Source: RNAcentral